This 406-nucleotide ribosomal RNA is filed under the name uncultured bacterium. RNAcentral's name for it is "partial 16S ribosomal RNA". It matches the Rfam family "Bacterial small subunit ribosomal RNA", at positions 30 to 525 of the family's 1533-position model. The record is from RNAcentral.
AUUGAACGCUGGCGGCAGGCCUAACACAUGCAAGACGAACGAGUGGCGGACGGGUGAGUAAUGUCUGGGAAACUGCCUGCUGGAGGGGGAUAACUACUGGAAACGGUAGCUAAUGCCGCAUACCAUCAGAUGUGCCCAGAUGGGAUUAGCUUGUUGGUGGGGUAACGGCUCACCAAGGCGACGAUCCCUAACUGGUCUGAUAGGAUGACCGGCCAAACUGGAACUGAGACACAGUCCGGACUCCUACGGGAGGCAGCAGUGGGGAAUAAAGCACAAUGGGGGCAAGCCUGAUGCAGCCAUGCCGCGUGUAUGAAGAAGGCCUUCGGGUUGUAAAGUACUUUCAGCGAGGAGGCGUUACCCGCAGAAGAAGCACCGGCUAACUCCGUGCCAGCAGCCGCGGGAAUUA